GGGUUCGUGGCGGGGCGGGCGCCGGAGGGGUGACCCCUGUGCUUCCCCCCUGCGGCAGCGCUGCUGGAGAUGCAGAGCACCCCGAGCUACCUCUGGAGCACCGAGGACUGCCUGGGCCAGGGCGCCACAGCCUCCGUCUACAGAGCCCGCAACAAGAAAUCGGGGGAGCUGGUCGCUGUGAAGGUCUUUAACAGCGUCAGCUACCGGCGGCCCCCGGAGGUCCAGAUGAGGGAGUUUGAGAUGCUGAGGAGGCUGAACCAUAAAAACAUCGUCAAGUUCUUUGCUGUAGAGGAGACGGGCAGCAGCAAACAGAAGGUGCUGGUGAUGGAAUACUGCUCGGGGGGCAGCUUGCUGAGCGUGCUGGAGGACCCGGAGAACACCUUCGGCCUGGCUGAGUCCGAGUUCCUCAUCGUGCUGCAGUGCGUGGUGGCAGGGAUGAACCACCUCCGUGAGAACAGCGUGGUGCACAGAGACAUCAAACCAGGCAACAUCAUGCGGCUGCUGGGGGAAGAUGGGCAGAGCAUCUAUAAACUGACCGACUUUGGGGCCGCGCGGGAGCUGGGCGAUGAUGAGAAGUUUGUGUCUGUCUAUGGGACAGAGGAGUACCUGCACCCGGACAUGUACGAGCGCGCGGUGCUGCGCAAGCCGCAGCAGAAGGUUUACGGCGUCACCGUCGACCUCUGGAGCAUCGGCGUCACCUUCUACCACGCUGCCACCGGCAGCCUCCCCUUCGUCCCCUUCGGGGGCUCGCGCUGGAACAAGGAGGCCAUGUACAAAAUCACCUCUGAGAAGCCUCCUGGAGCCAUUGCAGGGGUCCAGGAGCAGGAGAACGGGAGCAUCGCGUGGAGCUACGAGCUGCCCCUCACCUGCCGCCUCUCCACGGGGCUGAAGGAGCAGCUGGUUCCCAUCCUGGCCAACAUCUUGGAGGUGGAUCAGAGGAAAUGCUGGGGGUUCAACCAGUUUUUUGCAGAGACCAAUGACAUCUUGACCAGGAUCGUGGUGGACGUCUUCUGCCUGCCACAGGCUUCCUCCCACCGCAUCUACAUCCACUCCUACAACACUACCACCAAGUUCUUGGAUGCUGUCUUCAAACAAACGAACGUAGCCCCUCACCACCAAGAGUACUUUUUCGAAGGGCAUCCCUACGAGCUGGAUCCGAAUCUGCAGGCUCAGAACUUCUGCAGGACCACGGAGCACAGCCCUCUGACCUUGCUGAGCAUCGCCGAGCAGCCGGAAGACGUGGUAGGAGUCACAUACAGAGACCCGGCGCUCGAGUUCCCAAAGCUGGUGCCCAGGGUGGACGUGGUGGCCGACUGCAGAGCAGCCAAGAGCGCGGUGGGUGCCGUGCACCAGACCCUGCGCAUCGCCCGCGCCCUGCGGCGCUGCCGGGAGCUGCUGGCGAGGGGCCUGCACUGGGUGAUUGGGAACCUGAAAACGGAGUGCGUGAGGGUGCUGGAGCAGAAGACAGGGGCUCUCUCGGUGCUCUCCUGCCUGCAGCUCCCUGAGGUGAAGACCCCCGUGCUGUACGAGGCCGCUCCUGCAGGCAGCGGGGUGCUGGCUCUGAAGGACGUGGCCAUGGUGAAGACAAGGCUGCAGAGGGUUGACGAGGAGCUCUCCCAGUGCUCUCACAGCAUCUUUGUCUUCCAAGGGGCUCUCGAUGGGGUUUUGGCUGAGCUGGUGAAGCAGGGGCAGGAAGUGCAUGAAGACAAGAGCAUCCAGCGGAUCCAGUGCUGCCUGGAGGAGAUGCAGCUCAUCUACACGCAGUUCAGGAAGGCCAGGACCAGUCUGCGGCUGAGCUACAAUGAGGAGCAAAUACACAAGCUGGAUAAGGUGAAUUUAGGCCAUUUGGCCAGGAAGGUGCUCUUGAUUUUCCAGGAUGAUUGUGUGGAACGGUACAAGGAGGCCCUGGCCCUCCAUGGCAGCAGCAUGAGGAAAGUCUGUGAGAUAAAGAAACAUCUGAAGAGGCUCAGCAACCGCAUCAGCGCCUGCAGCGUGGAGAUGAUGCAGUGCCAGGACUGCCUGCAGAGCGCUCUGGACAGGCUUCUCCAGCCUGAGAGGCAGAGCUUGGCACCGGUUCCUCCUGCUCCUUCCCCUGUCCCUGGGAGCCAGGCACACCAGGACAUGGCUUUCCGGAUGCAGGAGCUCCUGGAGCAGAUGAGGUCAGUAACUUGUGAUCUCCAGCUCAACAACAGCAUCAUCGAGCGGUUACGUGGGGCUGCCCCAGCCCCUGGUGUUUGAGACGUGGUGAGCUUGUGGCUGCUGAAGCCAACAGCGGCGAACACUCGCAGCACUUUGGGUCCAGGGCGAUGGAGACGUCUGAUGUUCAUGUUGGAGGAGCUCCCUGUCUCCUACCUCUCCCCUCCAGCACUUUUGCACCGUUCACCAGUGCCAGCUUUGAGUGGCUUGAACACCCUGAACCUUUGAAAGUUUGACCAGAAAAUGAGAGGGUUUGGGUUUUUCUUUCCUUUUAAAAAGUGCUCGAAGGACUUCAUGUUUUUCCAGCUUCUCUGUAUCACCGUGCCUGGUGGUGAAGAGGAAGAGGCUAAACAGCUAAAUUCUCUUUUGCCCUCUUGUGAUGGGAUUACUCCCACUUUUAACAUACUUCUGGUCCCUGGAGUGGGCAUGAGGGAUGCUGAGACUGGAUCCAGCCCAGGACAGCUCCAGCACUGGGACGGUGGGAGCCGCAGACCUCAGCCCGCUGAUGCUGCCACCUCUUCUCCCAUUUCCCCCUUGGGUUUGGGAAUAGGAAGCCAAGGGAGGAUUCUCGUUUUGGGAUUCUCCUCGUUUUCCAAGGAACAUUAGUUUUAAUCCAGCUCGAAUUCACUGACAUCCCCUGUUGGAACAGGGCAGGGAGCCCAGGCAGGGUGUCCUGCCACACUUCCUUGGAUUCAGUGGAGCUGCACUGAUUCAUACCAGCUGAGAGCUGGACCUGGGACAUGUUUGGCUUUGGUAAAGAGGGAUUUAUUUCUUGGCAAAAAGAAAAGAGAGGUUUUGCUAACAGCCCUUGUCAUGCUUCAACUGCUGUAACAGCAGCUGCAAAGGGGACUCCCGGAAUCCAAAUGAAACAGGAACUUUCCUGCCAGUGGUAAUUAGGGAUUUUUUCCCAGAUUACUUUAACCCUUGGCCUAAAAGAGCUUCCAAUGGAGUCAGCCCUGAAUGCCUGCAGAGGCAGCUGAGGAUAACGACUCUGCCCCAUCUCCAUCCCGUGUGAGCCCAAGCAUGCGGUGUGGACAGAGGGUACUACAUUUAUUUGCACUGGAAGCCAAGGUCUGCAGCUUUCACAGCUGGGAUGGCCCUGGAAGAGCACAUGUCCAGAAUGGCUUUAGCAGGUUCCCAGCCAGACGCCGGGUAGAUCUUUGCUCUCAGAAACAUCACUUGCUUUCUUGCAGGUGAUUUCUUACACAAUGAACGCUCUGUGGAGAGCACAGGAUUAAAUCCCAAUCAGGGGGAAACAGUUUCCCUUCCCUGGGAAUAAAUCUGCUGCUGUUCUCAGGCAGGAGCAGAGGAUGUGUGAAAGUGAAUCAGGGUCCUGAAUGGGGAAGAAAAAGACGCUCCCCAAAUGAAUCUUGCUACUUAGCAUGGAACAAAACUAGGAUUUCCAAGCUGUGUUAUUCCUCUUUGGGUUUGAAGCUUUUAUUAGGGGCUGCUUAUGGCAUUAGUCCUUUGUAACUCAGAGCCAGUGUUUUAAUCCAGGCUUCAAAUUAGAAUCCUUGAAAAGGAUUUAGACAUCCUUGGCUUAUCCUGUCCUCAGGAAUCCGUGAGUGACAUCAAACUCAGCUUCCCAUGAGCCCAGAAGCUGGGGUGCACACAGCUCCAUCUGGAUGUAGGGAAAAGGGAAAAUGCAUGAGGAAGAGUUUCUUCUUACGGUUCACAGCACAGCACAGAUUUCCUCACCAUGCAGAAUACACUGUUCUGUAUCUUUUUCA
This is an RNA transcript of Pezoporus flaviventris, 3926 nucleotides long. It is a transcript of the gene named inhibitor of nuclear factor kappa B kinase subunit epsilon, with no coding region annotated. The record is from RefSeq and is a predicted model, not a curated record. NCBI's taxonomy places the organism in Eukaryota, Metazoa, Chordata, Aves, Psittaciformes, Psittacidae. The transcript is spliced from 21 exons.